GAGUUCAGACAAAGUUUACCUGCAGCUGAAGCCGUGGAUGAGGUCCGGCUCCCGUAGGAGUCCGGAUGGAAUUUACCAGUGUUCGAAGUCGAGGACGAAGCUCGGCUCCCGUAGGAGUCUGGAUGAAGUUUGCCUGCAGUUGAGGUCGGAGAUGGAGUUCGAUUUUCGUAGGAGUCCGGACGGAGCCUUCUUAUGAUCAGAGUCGAGGGCAAAGUCCGGCUCCCGCAGGAGUCCGGACGGAGUUUUAUCAUGAAGGGCCACUGGGGAAGGUCUUCCAGCAGUUGAUGUUGGGGACGAAGUCCGACUCCCGUAGGAGUCCGAGC
Molecule: long non-coding RNA, 323 nt
Filed under: Elaeis guineensis (African oil palm)
Lineage: Eukaryota; Viridiplantae; Streptophyta; Magnoliopsida; Arecales; Arecaceae
Description: long non-coding RNA (EGUI_LNC058851)
Source: RNAcentral